This 447-nucleotide ribosomal RNA is filed under the name uncultured bacterium. RNAcentral describes it as "partial 16S ribosomal RNA". It matches the Rfam family "Bacterial small subunit ribosomal RNA", at positions 29 to 523 of the family's 1533-position model. The record is from RNAcentral.
AACGAACGCUGGCGGCAGGCUUAACACAUGCAAGUCGAACGCCCCGCAAGGGGAGUGGCAGACGGGUGAGUAACGCGUGGGAACAUACCCUUUGGUGCGGAACAACAACUGGAAACGGUUGCUAAUACCGCAUGAGUCCUACGGGGGAAAGAUUUAUCGCCAAAGGAGUGGCCCGCGUCGGAUUAGCUAGUUGGUGGGGUAAUGACCUACCAAGGCGACGAUCCGUAGCUGGUCUGAGAGGGUGAGCAGCCACACUGGGACUGAGACACGGCCCAGACUCCUACGGGCGGGAGCAGUGGGGAAUAUUGGACAAUGAGCGCAAGCCUGAUCCAGCCAUGCCGCGUGAGUGAUGGAGGCCCUAGGCUUGUAUAGCUCUUUCAGCGAGGAGGAUAAAGACGUUACUCGCAGAAGAAGCCCCGGCUAACUUCGUGCCAGCCGCCGCAGUAA